This 306-nucleotide ribosomal RNA is filed under the name uncultured bacterium. RNAcentral's name for it is "bacterial SSU rRNA". It matches the Rfam family "Bacterial small subunit ribosomal RNA", at positions 28 to 337 of the family's 1533-position model. The record is from RNAcentral.
GACGAACGCUGGCGGCGUGCUUAACACAUGCAAGUCGAGCGGUAAGGCCCUUUCGGGGGUACACGAGCGGCGAACGGGUGAGUAACACGUGGGUGACCUGCCCUCAGCUCUGGGAUAAGCCUGGGAAACCGGGUCUAAUACUGGAUAUGACUCCAUGACGCAUGUUGUGGGGUGGAAAGCCUUGUGCGGCUGAGGAUGGGCCCNGGCCUAUCAGCUUGUUGGUGGGGUNANGGCCUACCAAGGCGACGACGGGUAGCCGGCCUGAGAGGGCGACCGGCACACUGGGACUGAGACACGGCCCAGACU